This 363-nucleotide ribosomal RNA is filed under the name Salmonella enterica subsp. enterica serovar Typhimurium. Its description in RNAcentral is "partial 23S ribosomal RNA". It matches the Rfam family "Bacterial large subunit ribosomal RNA", at positions 1163 to 1503 of the family's 2925-position model. Lineage: Bacteria; Pseudomonadati; Pseudomonadota; Gammaproteobacteria; Enterobacterales; Enterobacteriaceae. The record is from RNAcentral. RNAcentral also lists the same sequence under 2 other names.
CAAGACAACUUUACGGAGUUGACGAUUGACGGAGCGAAGCGACGUCAAAGCGUUCAUUAAAGUCGAGUUGGCUUAGGGAUACGUUCGUUGGGUAGGGGAGCGUUCUGUAAGCCUGUGAAGGUGUGUCGUGAGGCAUGCUGGAGGUAUCAGAAGUGCGAAUGCUGACAUAAGUAACGAUAAAGCGGGUGAAAAGCCCGCUCGCCGGAAGACCAAGGGUUCCUGUCCAACGUUAAUCGGGGCAGGGUGAGUCGACCCCUAAGGCGAGGCCGAAAGGCGUAGUCGAUGGGAAACGGGUUAAUAUUCCCGUACUUGGUGUUACUGCGAAGGGGGGACGGAGAAGGCUAUGUUGGCCGGGCGACGGUU